This 1389-nucleotide ribosomal RNA is filed under the name uncultured bacterium. RNAcentral's name for it is "bacterial SSU rRNA". It matches the Rfam family "Bacterial small subunit ribosomal RNA". The record is from RNAcentral.
AUGCAAGUCGAACGUCCCAGCCGAAAGGCUGGGUAGUGGCGGACGGCUGAGUAACACGUGGGAACCUGCCCCUAGGUAAAAAAUAACUCACCGAAAGGUGAGGUAAUAUUUUAUAGUCCAGGUGCCUUCAGGUAUCUGGUAAAGAGCUUAACGGCUCGCCAAGGGAUGGGCCUACGGCUUAUCAGGUAGUUGGUAGGAUAACGGCCUACCAAGCCUAUGACGAGUAGCUGGUCUGAGAGGAUGGUCAGCCAGAGGGGUACUGAGACACGGACCCCACUUCUACGGAAGGCAGCAAUCAGGAAUAGUCGGCAAUGGGCGAAAGCCUGACCGCGCGACGCCGCGUGCGGGAAGAAGCUCUAAUCGAGCGUAAACCGCUGUGGUAAGGGAAGAAGAUCUCCAUUUUGGAGGUUUGACGGUACCUUACUAGAAAGGGGCCGCUAACUGCGUGCCAGAAGCGUCGGUAAUACGUGGGCCUCAAGCAUUAUCCGGUGUCACUGGGCUUAAAGGGUCGUGUAGGUGUCUUAAUAAGUUUUCGCUUAAAUAUCUAAGCUCAACUUGGAGAAAGGCGAGAAUACUGUUAAGAUUGAGUUUUCUUAAGGGAGACUGGAACUUAGGGAGGAGUAGUGAAAUGCGUUGAUACUCUAGGGAACACCAGUAGCGAAGGCGAGUCUCUAAAAGAAAACUGACACUGAGACACGAAAGCUAAGGGAGCGAAGCAGAUUAGAGACCUGCGUAGUCUUAGCCUUAAACGAAUGUCUGCUAGCUGUAUUUUUCUCUUUUUUUUUAAAGAGGAGGGUAUGGCGUAGGGAAUCCGUUAAGCAGACCGCCUGGGGAGUACGGCCGCAAGGUUGAAACUCAAAGGAAUUGGCGGGGAGGCACACAACCAGUGGAACAUGUGGUUCAAUUCGAAACGAACCGAAGAACCUCACCAGGGUUUGACAUCUCAGCGUUCUAUUCCACAGAAAUGUGGAAAAUCCGCAAGGAGGCUGGGACAGGUGCUGCAUGGCUGUCGUCAGCUCGUUCCGUGAGGAGUGCCCUUAAGUGGGACAACGAGCGCAACCCCUGUCCUGUGUUAAAUUUGUCACAGGAGACUGCUCUCCUAUUUGGAGAGAGGAAGGAGGGGCAGACGUCAAGUCAGCAUGGUCCUUAUACCCUGGGCUACACACAUGUUACAAUGGGUAAAAACAACGAGUUUUGCUAGCGCGCAAGCGUCAGCAAAUCUCUGAAAUUUACUCUCAGUGGGGAUUGAGGUCUGCAACUCGACCUCAUGAACUCGGAAUUGGUAGUAAUCGCGGAUCAGUCAUGCCGCGGUGAAUACGUUCUUGCCUCUUGCACACACCGCCCGUCAAGCCAACAAAGUCGGGAAGAUCUGAAAUUCGAUAUAAGUCG